AGUUCAGCGCCAUACGGCAAUGGCGAACGGUGUUAAUCGUUUUUAUCACCGAGACCUCGAUUAUUCGCAAUAUUUAACGCCGGCUAUUCGUGCAAAGCGACACGAGUGUGCGCGUUCAACGAUUCACGUGUACCCGCGAAAGCAAUUCUAACCUCAACAAAAAAGAACGCGAGAAGACACGAGAAUCGUUUCGAUCGGCUUCCCGGAUGAUCUACCAGUGAGAGCCAACAUGGCGUCGACCGAUCUGUCGUUCGGCUCGAUACCAGCCUUCUACAGAGAGGUCUACGAGAAGAUUUGUUCGCCUACAGGUGGAAACGUCGAACGAGAAGUUUUUAAAUCCCUUCUCGUCAAGUCUCAGCUGAGCAGCUCGGUUCUCAGUCAGAUAUGGGAACUCGUGGACAGCAAGACGGGUUAUCUCACGAGGAGUGGAUUGUACAAGGGCCUUGCCCUCGUCGCCUUUGCUCAACAAGGAAAGCAACCAAGCGACAAGCUUCUGGAAAACUCCGAAUCUCAAGAAUUACCCGUUCCCGUUCUCGGUGAUUUAUCGGAGGUGACGCUAUUAGCUCAAAGACUGCACAGAGGUAACAAUCCUGCGAAACUGAAUCUCACCUACACCGACAUAUGCAAUUUAGACACGAUAGAGGUCAACUUGGUACCCGAGAAGAAAGGUAUCUUUUUAAAACACGUGGAAUAUCAAGUUACAAGCAAGCGAUUUAGCUCCGUAGUUUACAGACGAUACAACGAUUUUGUGUCACUGCACGAACUACUUUUAGCGAGGUUUCCUUAUCGAUUGAUACCGAAAUUACCACCAAAAAAGAUCGUAGGAGCCGAUUCUCAAUUUCUGGAAGAACGAAGACGAUCUCUUCUGAGGUUUCUAACUUUGAUCGCUCGUCAUCCUAUAGUGAACAAGGAUCCGAUCGUACAUUUCUUCUUCACUUACACCGGCGAGGAGACUCAGCAUAAAAUACGCGAAGUUUUCCGACGAGUCCCAGACGAAUUUGCGACCUCGGAAUUAUCCUCCAGGGCAAAGGAAUUAGUACCACCAGAAACUCUUACCGAAUUUGCAAAUAGCAGAGAUCAAAUAAGAGUUAUAUUGUUAGGUAUAUCACGUUUGAAAAAUAUAGCAGACUGUCUGGCUAUCAGAUCUCAUAGUUACGCCGUUGACAUGGCUGAAUUGGGAACACAAUUGAACAAUUUGGCUUCCGAGCCACAUGGUGCUAGUUCUUGGGUCACCGGAGGUUCUACGAUCUGGCAGGAUAUGAAGAAAGGUUUUCAUGUUAUUUCAAAGGAAUUUAAUCUACUGUCCACGAGAGCACUACAACAGGCAGUUAGAGAAGAGACUAUGAUCUGCGAGAGACUGAACUUUUUGUUAGAUAUUCUUGUAGCUCAUAGAAUAUUAUGCGAAAGACACGAACGAGGUGUCAGUGCUGAUCAUCAACGUGCGUUAUCGACGAUGUUGUCUCUAAAAAAACGACAAAUGCAAGGGGUCAUUCGUGGAACGGACGCCGAUACAGUCGAGUACCUGGAAAAUAAAAUGGUCGCUCAAGAAUCCGUUAUUGCAAACGUCGAACUAAGGAAUUGUUUUUCGUUGCAUUGUUUGCACAUGGAAACUCAGCUUGUUCAUGCGCACUUGGAAAUACUCGCCACAGUUUUACAAAGUCUUGUAAGCGUGCAAAUAAGAGGACACUCCGAGGUAAGAAAUUUUAAAUGUAACGCUUAGCAAUUUUGUAUCAAUUGUUAUCAUAAUUAUUUUCUUUUUAUUUGCUAUGCAAUCCAAUGGAUUCGAGCUUGCCGAAGUGUGGAAGUUAAUAGAACCUACGAUUACAAAAUGCUUACCGGAAAAGUCAGCAAGCGGAUCAAACGGAGUGUCAUAGCAAACAAAGAACUUUUUAAUCGUUUCGUCCUUAGUGAUAUCAUUCGUACAAACGAUAGGUAACGAACAUGACUGAUAUAAAUUCAAGAUAGGUGGCAUAACGAAUCCCAGGAUAGGUGGAAUAACGAUUCCUGUUAACGAGGAAUCUCUUGGAAUUAUUUUCGUUCGCAAAAUAGAUAAUGAAUGCUCGAUCAAUUAUUAUUAUCCUACUUAAUAGGAUUUAGUAUUAAGAUUCCGAGAUUCAUCUUUUUUUAUAUAGUAGAGUCUCCUGUAUUUAAGCACACAUUAUCCGAACACUCUAAGUCUAUAUGACAGUGUCAACCAGUCCAGUGGUGACCAUUACAUUCAAGGCAACAUGUGACUAUUAUCAAAAAAACACGUACGAUUCCCUGGUUGCUAUGAGCAGUGAAAUAAAUACACGAGUUCGCACUUCAAGUAACUUUCUUGGAGACCAGAUACCGGUGAAUGUAGCUCUCAAAGGGUUUAAAACUUUAAAACAACUUCAGCUAGGGAAUACAGUUCAGGACAAAUUUAUUUUUCUUUUUUGAGAAUUCUAAAAUGUUCUCUUUCAAGUAACGAAGAACCAUCUCUAGUGGUAGUAGCAAGAAAAAGUUUAUACUUUCUAAUGUCUCUGAGAAAUUCUUUGAAAUUCCUUUUUUAAAUAUACAUGUAAUAAGGGAUGCAUGUAACAUAAUCUUCUUGAUAUCUAUUCAAUUCGAUGGUUGCUAUAAUACUGACAAAAAAAUCAUCAAUAUAUAUACAGCAAUAUGUAUACAGCUUAAUAUCUGAAUGUCUAUUAUCCAAACAGGAUAUCUCUUAGCAACAGAUACCUUCUUCUGUCGUAAAUAUAUCAAUAUGAUAUGCAUCAAUAUAUAUUUUCUUUUGUUCGACCGAACAAAUUCUGAUCGCAACAAUAUAGUAAAAGAAUACAGGCGUGGCUAUAGCAACUAAACGGAAACAAAUGAAACUUUGACAUAAGAAAAGUGAUUAUUCUAUUAUACGAACGCUUUUGUCUUCGAUUCGAUUCGAGAGACUCUACUGUAUUUCACUUUUUAAACAAUAGUCGCUCGCUUAUACGAUCUUAAUGGUAAAAGUGCCUUAAUGGAAAUAUUUCGAAUUUUUACCGGAAAAAAAUUAAGAUAGUCGUAUAUAAAUGGUUAGCAUAAGUUAUAUGUACAAAGUUCAAUGCACACAUCACGAAAGAAAAAGAAAAAAAAUGAAAAAAAAAAUCAUUUCCGUAUAAGAUAAGAGAAAGAAAGAGAGAAAGAGAAUAUAAUAUACGGGAGAAUUGUAUGUAUAGUCAAAGAAAUUUCUAAACAUUCCUUGUUAUGUACUUAAUAUAUUUUAUUAUAUAUAAAAUAAUAAUCGUGAUAUUUGUAAGCAAUUAGCGAUCUAUUGUAUAUAAAAAAAAAAAAUAAUUAAGAGUAUGUAAAAAUAUAAAAUGUAUCAUAGACGCGUUAGUGAAAAACAAAUGCAUGGCGUAUGAAAUCGUCAAAUUGUAAAUAUGAUUUUUCUUUUCUUUUUUUUUUCUUCCGUGCUGAACGAACAUUUUAUAUAUAUAUGUAUGUAUGUAUGUGUGUGUGUAUUUAUAUAUAUACACAUAUAUACAUAUAUAUAUAUAUGUUACAGAAUUGAAGAAACAAGAACGCCCUUUACUCGAUCUUGUGUCACCACGUUGAUCGUGGACAUUUGGGCAUUUUACACACUUUUAUACCAUAUUCGAUUUUACUAUGUAAGAUUAAUCAAAUAUAUUGUUAAUACAAAAAGUUAA
Molecule: RNA transcript, 3644 nt
Organism: Vespula pensylvanica (western yellowjacket)
Lineage: Eukaryota; Metazoa; Arthropoda; Insecta; Hymenoptera; Vespidae
Gene name: sorting nexin-8-like
Exons: 9
Source: RefSeq, a predicted model, not a curated record